GAUGAAGAACGUAGCGAAAUGCGAUACGUAAUGUGAAUUGCAGAAUUCAGUGAAUCAUCGAAUCUUUGAACGCACAUUGCGCCCGCCAGUAUUCUGGCGAGCAUGCCUGUUCGAGCGUCAUUUCAACCAUCAAGCCCCAGGCUUGUGUUGGAGCCCUGCGGCUGCCGCAGCCUCCCAAAACCAGUGGCGGGCUCGCUAUCACACCGAGUGCAGUAGUUUACUCUUCGCUCAGGGCGUGUGGCGGGUGCUAGCCGUGAAACCCCCAACUUCUCAAGGUUGACCUCGGAUCAGGUAGGAAUACCCGCUGAACUUAAGCAUAUCAAUAAGCGGAGGA
This 334-nucleotide unclassified non-coding RNA is filed under the name soil metagenome. RNAcentral describes it as "partial contains 5.8S ribosomal RNA, internal transcribed spacer 2, and large subunit ribosomal RNA". The stretch from base 1 to 120 matches the Rfam family "5.8S ribosomal RNA", at positions 35 to 154 of the family's 154-position model. The record is from RNAcentral.